This is a long non-coding RNA of Macaca mulatta (Rhesus monkey), 2702 nucleotides long. Lineage: Eukaryota; Metazoa; Chordata; Mammalia; Primates; Cercopithecidae. The record is from Ensembl.
UCUAUGUAUAUUUUUAUAUGUGUGUUUGUGUGUAUGUGCAUGUAUAAAAUACCACAUUAUAACUGUUUUCAGACACUUAGAAAUUGUUUUUAUAAAGAAAUGAACCCACACAGAUAUUGAAAAUUUAUCCAAUCUCCGUCAACAUAAUUAUCUUAUUUUAAUUAAAACCUAAGGCUGAGUUUACUCAAGGAAAUGAUCCAGUUCUGUGAUUCUCCCUCAGACCCAGCAGCCAGAACACCAAACUUGACACUUAUAGAAAAAUGAAAAUGUUUGCUCUAAUUUUUUUUUUUGAGACAGUGUCUCAUUCUGUUGCCCAAGCUUGAGUGCAGUGGUGCAAUCACAGCUCACUACAGCCUCAACCUCCCAGGCUCAAGUAAUUCUCCUUCCUCAGCCUCCUGAGUAGCCUGGACUACAGAUGCGCACCACUACACUCAGCUAAUUUUUUAUUUUUUGUAGAGACAGGGAUCUCGCUCUGUUGCCCAGUCUGGUGCUGAACUCCUGGACUCAAUCAAUCUUCCCGCCUCAGCCUCCCAAAAUCCUGGGAUUACAGGUGCGGACCGCCAUGUCCAGCCCUAGCUCGAACUUUCAGUGUUUACGUUUCCAGAGAGGCGUCAUAAUGGAGAGAGGAUUUUGUUUCUCGGAAAGUCUUUCACAGUUGCCCAAAGAGGAGCCAUGACGAAGUACAAGAGACAGAGAGACUUAACCACUAUCUUGGAGCCGAGAAGUACAAGACCAAGGUAUCUUCAGGAUUGGUUUCUUCUGAGGCUUCUUUGCUGGUAGAGGGCCAUCUUCUCUCCAUGUGCUCGCCUGGUGUUCCCUCUGUGUGUGUCUGUGGCCUAAUCUCCACACCCUAUAGGGACACCAGUCACUUUGGAUUACGGCCCACCCAUAUGACCUCAUUUCACAUUAAUCACUUGUUUGAAGACCCUAUCGCCAAAUACGAUCACAUUCUGAGUUAUUGGGUUUAGGGCUUCAACAUGGGACUUUGGAGGACACUACUCGGUCCAUAACGUGGAGUAAUUACUAUAAACUAUCAAAUACUAAUAUUAUAUGAAAGAAAGAGCUUAAAUGUAAAUAUGAAUGCAAACUAAUGAAUAAUAUUACAAUAAACGUAGUGCCAAUUUAAGUUUGCAGAAGAGUGAAAACCUUAAAAUGUGUUGCUUUAAGAUGUAUCUUUUUUUUAAUAAUCACACUAUAUCUCAAUUUGGAAAAAAUUGGAGUUUUACAUCCUAGAGCUUCUAAUCAGAAAAAUUUGAGUACCUACCUUUCAAGAGAAAAAAGGGAAAAGAGAAAAUAAUUUAUCCCAAAUUUAAGAAAAUUUUUUUGUUUUAAGCAUAUGUCAACCGUAUUGCCAGAAAUGUUUAAGUCCCUACUUUGAUUACUGAGUUAUGUAAAUAUUUUAGUAAGCCAUAUUUAAAUAAAUUCCUUUACUAAAGAUCAUUGUAGAAUGUAUUAUUUAGUUCACAUGAAAAGUAUGAGCAAAAAUGUCAUAGUAAAACAAAAAAUGAGAUUAGAAGUUAAUACAGAGGCAAAGCUGAUAUAUGUGACUAUUAUUUAUCUAGGAAAAAAAUUCUUUAAAAUACUUUAAUUAACAGAAUCUUUCUGGAACUCAUCAAUAACCCAUGAAAAACAGAUUCACGGGCAACAAAAAAUAAAUUGUAAGCAAGUUUAAUUUGAAUAUAUUAAUAGAAAUUAAGCCAAAUAUAAAAGUAUAACUUCAUAGUAUUUUUCUAUACAUUCUCCAUGAUGUGUCAAUACUUCUUCCACAAUACAAUUUGAGCAGUAGGAAAAAAUCAUAAGAGCAAAUACCAUUAUUCUGAAUAUGAUGCUUGCAAUUCCUAUUUUUUCCAUUAUCUUACUGCAAAAAAUUUCUAACAUACAUAAACAUUAAAACAAUUUUAUCAUGGAUAACACUUGCUAUAGUUCAAAUAUUUGACUCUGUAAACCUCGCCUUGAAAUUUGAUUCCGGAUGUUGGCAGUGGGACCUAAUGGAUGGUGUUUGGGUCGUGGAGCAGAUUCCCCAUGAAUGGUGGGUGCCAUCCUCAUUGUGGUGACUGAGUGCUCACUCUAGUCAUUCUCACCAGAGCUGGUUGUUAAAAAGAGCCUGGCACCUCCUCCCUGGCACCCCAUCCUCCCUGCUUUCUGUCUCACCAUGUAAUCUCUGUACACAUCAGCUUCUCUUCACCCUCCACCAUCAGUGGAAGCAGCCUGAAGCCCUCAGCAGAAGCAAAUGCUGAUUCCACGCUACUUGUGCAGCCUGUAGAACUGUGACCAAAAUAAUAAACUUUCUUUCUUUCUUUUUCUUUCUUUUCCUUCUUUCCUUCCUUCCUUCCUUCCUUCCUUCCUUCCUUCCUUCCUUCCUUCUCUCCCUCCCUCCCUCCUUUCCUUCCUUCCUUCCUUCCUUCCUUCCUUCCUUCCUUCCUUCCUUCUCUCCCUCCCUCCCUCCUUUCCUUCCUUCCUUCCUUCCUUCCUUCCUUCCUUCCUUCCUUGCUUCCUUCCUUUCUUCUUUCUUUCUUUCCUUCCUUCCUUCCUUCCUUUUUUUUUGACAGGGUCUCACUCUGUUGUCCAGACUGGCGUGUAUCCAUUUUCUUUCUAAAUUGCCCAACCUCAGGUAUUCCUUUAUAGCAACGUGAACAUAUUAAGGCAUCCAAAUACUAACCAUUUAGAUUUUACAAUUAGUAUUGCCAAAUACUAACCAUAAC